CCCAUAAUGCGGCCCGGCCCCAUCGGUCGGACGGUCACAAGCCCGUGGGAACGCAGAGUGUGGA
RNAcentral lists this non-coding RNA (64 nucleotides) under unclassified sequences. The record is from RNAcentral.